RNAcentral lists this ribosomal RNA (484 nucleotides) under Dothideomycetes sp. Its description in RNAcentral is "eukaryotic LSU rRNA". The stretch from base 167 to 320 matches the Rfam family "5.8S ribosomal RNA". The record is from RNAcentral. Lineage: Eukaryota; Fungi; Ascomycota; Dothideomycetes.
CGUAGGUGAACCUGCGGAAGGAUCAUUAUCGUGGGGAUUCGUCCCUAUCGAGAUAGCACCCUUUGUCUAUGAGAACCUUCUGUUUCCUCGGCGGGUUACGCCCGCCAAUGGGGACCCUUUAAACCCUUUGCAGUAGCAGUAAACUUCUGAUAUAAAUAAAUAUUAAAACUUUCAACAACGGAUCUCUUGGUUCUGGCAUCGAUGAAGAACGCAGCGAAAUGCGAUAAGUAGUGUGAAUUGCAGAAUUCAGUGAAUCAUCGAAUCUUUGAACGCACAUUGCGCCCUUCGGUAUUCCGUAGGGCAUGCCUGUUCGAGCGUCAUUUAAACCUUCAAGCUCUGCUUGGUGUUGGGUGUCUGUCUCGCCUCCGUGCGUGGACUCGCCUUAAAAUCAUUGGCAGCCGGUAGUUUGGCUUCGUGCGCAGCAGAAUACGCGCGUGAGACUGGGCUGUCGGCUUUCCACAAGCCUCUUUUUAGUUUGACCUCG